GAUGGAGCUCUGAGGGAUGAUGGAUCUGGCUUUUUCAAAUCCUCUGAAUCCAACAGCUCAUCAGAGUCCAAAAGAUCCUGAAAACACACCAUGGGAGACAAAAUGCAGGAAAUGGACUUUUCAGUAGGGAAUGACAGUGCCUAAUCCUCACGAGAAAUGCUAUGUUGCCAUAGAAGCAAGAGUCUCUCACCUGACUCUGUAACCACUGGUUCCUUCAGGAGGACACGGCCCCCUGGCUUAAGUAUUCGAGCUACUUCUGCCAGGAGCUCCACACUGUGCUGUGCUGCACUGCCUGGUACCAUGCCAGAGAGGAUUACAUCAAAACUGGACUUCCUGUGAGCCGCUGUGAAGAGAGAGCAUGAUGGUACAAUUGAACAUGUACAUACACAGCUUAAAACACCAGUUCCACCUCCCUCAUCCCUCAUGCUUGAGUACAACAGCAAGAACUGAUUAAAGACACCAGUCACAGAAGCACAGCCAAGGUGCAUCACUUCCCCUGUUGUACUGCUCAGGUAAGAGGCAGCAGCAGGUGCUGACAAUGUGCUGAGUCCUGACUCCCAAAGUGGGAAGGUGUUGGUUCACACAACAGCAGAACCCUCUCCCUUUUAAGGAAACAGUGAAAAAUUAAGCUCAUUCUUACACAGAGGCAGCUGGUUAACAUUUUCCACAGAGAUAUGAUUAUCAGCUCCCACCAGUGCCUGGACUUUAUCCACCAAAUCCUUCAGGGCUUCGACGGGCGAGGAGCUGUCCCAGAUGAUGGCCACGCGCUGGCCUGGAGCCAAUCCGUACUCGCCCAUUUCAGCAACAGCAAACCUGGCAGGGCUGGGGCAGAGAGAGAAAGGGUAAGUGCCAAACACAGCAAGAACCUCUGUGGAUUGUGACUUAACCAACUGAGUUGUUUUAAGAAAUGGGGAUAAUUUUCUGGAAAUGGGCAACAGAAAGUUCCCACAAACUGAGCGUUAGCAGGACAUGAAGAAAGAGCUAGACUUCAGGGCAUAAUUCAGUUUCUCCAGUUCACUGAUGGGACACUACAAGCCAUGCUUUAAAGAAAUCAACAAAAUAACACAAAAACUCACCUGCUUUCCUUAAAAAUCUGAGUAAGACAAACACAGGAUUUCUGGAUUUCCUGAGCAGUGACAGCUAUUGACAUUAAACACUACCUUGUGUCUCCUACUUCAAA
Molecule: long non-coding RNA, 1180 nt
Organism: Haemorhous mexicanus (house finch)
Lineage: Eukaryota; Metazoa; Chordata; Aves; Passeriformes; Fringillidae
Exons: 2
Source: RefSeq, a predicted model, not a curated record